CCAGCAGCUGCGGUAAUUCCAGCUCCAAUAGCGUAUACUAAAGUUGCUGCAGUUAAAAAGCUCGUAGUCGAAUUGGAUCAUAGAGAGUAAGGCUGCGCGCGCUCCCUCUGCUUGAGCGGACGCGCGCGCUCUUUCUAUGGUCAACCUUUCUGGGAGGGUUUCUGAGGAGGACGACUCUGUAUUCGGACCCCUCUUGGAUGUAUUUUACUGUGAACAAAAUAGAGUGUUCAUGGCAGGCCUUUUGAAUUAGGCUUAGAUACCAUAGCAUGGAAUAAUAGAAUAGGACUUCCGGUUCUGUUUUGUUGGUUUUUGGAGCCGAGGUAAUGAUUAACAGGGAUAGUUGGGGGCACCCGUACUCCGUUGUCAGAGGUGAAAUUCAUGGAUUAACGGAAGACGAACAACUGCGAAAGCAUCUGCCAAGGAUGUUUUCAUUGAUCAAGAACGAAAGU
RNAcentral lists this ribosomal RNA (449 nucleotides) under uncultured eukaryote. RNAcentral's name for it is "SSU rRNA". It matches the Rfam family "Eukaryotic small subunit ribosomal RNA", at positions 567 to 990 of the family's 1831-position model. The record is from RNAcentral.